RNAcentral lists this ribosomal RNA (467 nucleotides) under uncultured bacterium. Its description in RNAcentral is "partial 16S ribosomal RNA". It matches the Rfam family "Bacterial small subunit ribosomal RNA", at positions 28 to 507 of the family's 1533-position model. The record is from RNAcentral.
GACGAACGCUGGCGGCGUGCUUAACACAUGCAAGUCGAACGGAAAGGCCCUGCUUUUGUGGGGUGCUCGAGUGGCGAACGGGUGAGUAACACGUGAGUAACCUGCCCUUGACUUUGGGAUAACUUCAGGAAACUGGGGCUAAUACCGGAUAGGAGCUCCUGCUGCAUGGUGGGGGUUGGAAAGUUUCGGCGGUUGGGGAUGGACUCGCGGCAUAUCAGCUUGUUGGUGGGGUAGUGGCUUACCAAGGCUUUGACGGGUAGCCGGCCUGAGAGGGUGACCGGCCACAUUGGGACGGAGAUACGGCCCAGACUCCUACGGGAGGCAGCAGUGGGGAAUAUGGCACAAGGGGCGGAAGCCUGAUGCAGAAACGCGGCGUGCGGAUGACGGCCUUCGGGUUGUAAACCGCUUUCGCCUGUGACGAAGCGUGAGUGACGGUAAUGGGUAAAGAAGCACCGGCUAACUACGUG